AAGGAAUCUAUAAAGAAAGAAACAUGGUUAGAGUUAUUUAUUGAUAGUUACAAUGUGAAUAGUAUAAUCAAUAAUGAAUAUUAGUAAUCUAUACGUUACUACUUGAUACUACAAAUUUGGUAUUGACCGGUAAAAGGAGUGCCAUUUUUCAAUACGAAAGACAAACCUUAUUUUAUUGAUGGAAAAUAGAGUACUUGUCGACCUUCUACUAGACAGUCCAGAACGUCUACGAUCUUGCAUCCGGAAAUCAGGGCCGAUCUACUAAUAUUAUUUUAUCACGUGACAUUUUAACACGUACUCUUUUACAAAGUGAUUCACCUGUUCACCCUGCGUUCAGAGACUUUUUCAAAGAAGUUCAUGAACCGUUUGCAGAUGGCUAUAAAAGAAGAGAUAGUCGAUUCUGCUGUACGAGGACCGAUGAUGGACGAAUGAUACU
Long non-coding RNA from Bombus huntii, 436 nucleotides. RefSeq lists it as uncharacterized. The transcript is spliced from 3 exons. Lineage: Eukaryota; Metazoa; Arthropoda; Insecta; Hymenoptera; Apidae. The record is from RefSeq and is a predicted model, not a curated record.